GCCAGACUCCUACGGGAGGCAGCAGUGAGGAAUAUUGGUCAAUGGCCGGAAGGCUGAACCAGCCAAGCCGCGUGAAGGACGAAGGUGCCAAGCAUUGUAAACUUCUUUUGUCAAGGGACAAAAUCAGGCUCGAGAGCCUGACCGAGGGUACUUGAAGAAAAAGCAUCGGCUAACUCCGUGCCAGCAGCCGCGGUAAUACGGAGGAUGCGAGCGUUAUCCGGAUUUAUUGGGUUUAAAGGGUGCGUAGGCGGGCUGUUAGGUCGGGGGUAAGGGCGGGGGGCCCACCCCGGGCGAGCCGUUGAAACUGGCUGUCUUGAGAUGUCGAGAGGUAUGCGGAAUGCGCAGUGUAGCGGUGAAAUGCUUAGAUAUUGCGCAGAACUCCGAUUGCGAAGGCAGCAUACCGGCGGCGAUCUGACGCUGAGGCACGAAAGCGUGGGUAUCGAACAGGAUUAGAUACCCCUGUA
RNAcentral lists this ribosomal RNA (464 nucleotides) under uncultured bacterium. RNAcentral describes it as "bacterial SSU rRNA". It matches the Rfam family "Bacterial small subunit ribosomal RNA", at positions 330 to 792 of the family's 1533-position model. The record is from RNAcentral.